CAGCACCACCCCCAAACUCACCAGGAGGGCAUCACCAUCUUCAUGUUGAGUGUGACAGGGAUCCUAGGCCUGGGGAGGGACAGCCAGAGGGCCAUGAUGCUCAGGAGGGAUGAGAAAGCCACAGCAGAGAGCCCAGCACAAGCAAAGACAGCCCCUGGGGGGCCCCUCCCAGCAGGCAGGGCCUGUGUUUAAGGUGUUGCCAGGCAACCUGCCACGUGGGGCUGGAGCCUGUGGUUGAGGCACUAGGAAGGAGAAGCAGAGCCCAGCACUCGGCGUGACGGGGUCCCAGCAGCCGAGACACACUCUUCCCCCUCGGCCGCCCCCGCCGGAACUUCCGUUCGAGUCCCGGGAACCCAGCCAUCGCGCUGCCGGAAGUAGCCUGGCCAGCGAUACGGAACCCGGAAGUGGGGACACGGCUUCGCUGAAUGGAAGCUGCCAUGUUGGACACGGUGGGGCCACUCCCUGUCAUUCAGCCGCGGAAUCGGAGAGUUCUUACCCGCUCCCACCUGCAGAAUCUAGACUGCCACUUGCUACCACCACCCGUGCGCCUCCUGGAGGAAAGCUGUCUGGAAGGAGAGGCAUCCCUCAUACUAUUAUUGGCAUAAAGUUUACCACCUUCUCAUCCCCGUGGGACACACUUCCUAUGGCCUUGGAUAUCCGUCGCUGGUUUUAAUGCCCUAUUCCAGGAUCAUGAAUGGAAUCAUACACCCUAAACUGAAAAGACCUUAGAGAUCAUCUAGUCCUCCAGUCUUCUUAAAGAUGAGGAAACUGAGGCUCGGAUAAGGGAAGUAUAAAUAAACAGCAACCUCAGAUUACACUGUAAUGCUGCCCCUCUGGACCUGCUUCCUUAAGCUAUAAAACGGUAAUAACCACUACCCUGCCUACUUCACAGCUUUGCUGGUAGCGUCAAAUGAGGUCGUGUGAACAUGCCUUAUACACUGUAAAAUCACAGCGUGAGGCCUUAAUCACUUUGAAAAUGACCCUGAGAAUAUAUGCAGGCCCUAUCAGGAUAGCUGGACAGAUACUGGCUGGGUUGUUAGCACUGCCCUCCAAGGCAAUGCCAUGCAGACAGUGCACAAAAUGCCACCAUCAAAUGAGCUCCAUCACAUAAGAACAAAAAGGGCUUCAUUUGGUCAUCAUUGAGUCACCUUUGCUCCUUGCUGCACUGGUAAACUGGAACUAGGGCUUAGGGACCACAGAAAGGCUGGAAGGGAGGCUAACUUGAGUUGAAGGAGCAAGUCCCUGAGAGAACAUGUGGGGAUCUGCACACAGGAAAUGCACACAUUUGUCUCUCAAGCUUAGGAUUCAUUCUCUCAGUUUAACGCAUACUAGUUUUUUUCUAAACCCAUUUCACUGUACUACAUAUUUCUUUAAACUGAAGGAACACAGUACAAACUUGGUAGCAACAAAGCACUUUUCCCUAGGCCUAAAAUAUCAGGAUUCUGGGCAGGAAAACUUUGGGCCCAGGGUGCCACAGCAAGCCAAGGACUCAGGACUGGAUGUCAAAAGAGAAAGGAGAUAAAAGUGUAAAACAAUACAUCUGCCCCCACUCCCAACAGAAUCCCUGCUGAAUCUGCUUAUAGAAGAAUGGGCAGUUCCUCCUGCAUCCCAAUCACCCAAGACUCUGCAGCACUUUCAGCAAAUUCUUCAGAGUGAAGCUUCAAAUUCAGAGGCUCGGUCCUGCCAGCUACCUGUGAUUAGUGGAAUUAAUAAAAAGUCUACUCUAAGAUUUCUAACUUUAUUUUCCCUCCUACUCCAAAUUAAAACAUAGCCCUUCUUUUUUUUCCCCCAGCAUAUUAUGAGGGUACAAAUGUUAAGGUUACAUUUAUUGCCCUUGCCCCCAUCAUAGCCCUUCUUACAUCUCCAAAAUGAUCCAACAGAAAUAAAAUAGGUUGUGGCUGAGUGAGUAGGACUCUUAGUGCGUCAAAAACUGUUUGCAUUCUUGUUGACUUUUGAUUUUUAGAAACUUUGAGCCCUGACAAGGUUUGGUAGUGGCAGAUUUUUCCCAGGACAGGCUGGAGAAAGAGUGAUUAUAUCCUUCUAACAGUAGUGUGGGCCAAUCCCUCAGAGGAAUUCUCUCAGAAGAUCAGAUUCAACACUAAUUUCCUUUAUCACUUAUUCCUAUUUUCUGCAAGGUAGAGGAUACUGACCAUCUCAAAUCCUCUUUUUUGAUACUUAAGUUAUCUUCAAUUGCUGCACUGACUUUCAAAAUUUAAGUUGAGAGUCUUUGGUCCACCUUCAGACAGCAUGUGCUGCUCACUUACUUUCCUCACCUUCAUUUCUUCUGAUGAACUCCAGAAUCUGUCCUCCCUUAUUUUUGCAAAUGUCACUCCACAAAUUACUUCCCUUUGUGAGAAAUGGAAAGGUUUUUAUAUGUGGGUGUAGGAGUGUUUUUAACCUACUGUACAGAAUUAAGCUUGGCCUUUCCAGGAGAAACUAACCUAAUCUUGAUUUAACUGUGGCAUUUCUUAAGAUCUACCUAGUCCAAAACAAUUAUAAAAAAUUUCGAAGUUCAAUACAAUUCCCAGUAAAAUGAAAUUUUCAUCAACACUAUCAAGAACUCAAGAGAAAAUAUAAACAUUAAGUCUGGCAAGGAUUUAUUAGGAAGCUUAUUAGUCACAGUGAAUAAAAGCCAUGAAAAGAAGAACUCAGAGAUCUCCAAAUUCUGGCACUGGGCUCACAAAACUAGUUAGAAGCUAAUAAACAUUAUGGAGGUUCCAAGGGGAAUCUUAACUAAGCCUCAAUCUUACCCCAACCAAGCUACCCACAAACACAGAAAUGAUUCCCAUGCUCUCCCUAGAUUGCUCAGCUAGGCAGACAGAAAGGAGACCUCCCCAAGCUAUCACACAUCAGAGCAAGAGACUCCUGCCCUUCUAGCUGUAACCAUGGGACACCUAUGUGUGACAGACAACUCCAAGCUAGGCAACUUGACAAGAAUGCUGAAUGAUGACAGGGAAAAGGAGCAAGCAGGAACAAGUGUUUCUAGUUGGAGACCCUCCUGAUGGCUAAUACAAACACGAUCCUGUGGCUUCAGAAAGUUCCUGCAGCCCAGAAAUAGUUUCCAUUUUGUUAAAAAACAA
Microcebus murinus (gray mouse lemur) is the source of this 3080-nucleotide non-coding RNA. The record is from RefSeq and is a predicted model, not a curated record. NCBI's taxonomy places the organism in Eukaryota, Metazoa, Chordata, Mammalia, Primates, Cheirogaleidae.